Molecule: ribosomal RNA, 467 nt
Filed under: uncultured bacterium
Lineage: Bacteria
Description: partial 16S ribosomal RNA
Rfam family: Bacterial small subunit ribosomal RNA
Source: RNAcentral
GACGAACGCUGGCGGCGUGCUUAACACAUGCAAGUCGAACGGAAAGGCCCUGCUUUUGUGGGGUGCUCGAGUGGCGAACGGGUGAGUAACACGUGAGUAACCUGCCCUUGACUUUGGGAUAACUUCAGGAAACUGGGGCUAAUACCGGAUAGGAGCUCCUGCUGCAUGGUGGGGGUUGGAAAGUUUCGGCGGUUGGGGAUGGACUCGCGGCUUAUCAGCUUGUUGGUGGGGUAGUGGCUUACCAAGGCUUUGACGGGUAGCCGGCCUGAGAGGGUGACCGGCAACAUUGGAAUGGGAUUACGCCCAAAACUCUACGGGGGGGAACAGGUGGGAAUAUUGCACAAUGGGCGGAAGCCUGAUGCAGCAACGCCGCGUGCGGGAUGACGGCCUUCGGGUUGUAAACCGCUUUCGCCUGUGACGAAGCGUGAGUGACGGUAAUGGGUAAAGAAGCACCGGCUAACUACGUG